RNAcentral lists this ribosomal RNA (121 nucleotides) under Salinibacterium rubrum. Lineage: Bacteria; Bacillati; Actinomycetota; Actinomycetes; Micrococcales; Microbacteriaceae. The record is from RNAcentral.
GUUUCGGCGGCCAUAGCGAGAGGGAAACGCCCGGUCACAUUCCGAACCCGGAAGCUAAGACUCUCUGCGCCGAUGGUACUGCAAGGGGGACCUUGUGGGAGAGUAGGACACCGCCGGACUU